RNAcentral lists this transfer RNA (76 nucleotides) under Lentisphaerota bacterium. Its description in RNAcentral is "Lentisphaerae bacterium (anaerobic digester metagenome) tRNA-Met". It matches the Rfam family "tRNA". Rfam says of the family: Transfer RNA (tRNA) molecules are approximately 80 nucleotides in length. The record is from RNAcentral. Lineage: Bacteria; Pseudomonadati; Lentisphaerota.
GCCGGGCUAGCUCAGUCGGUAGAGCAGUGGAAUCAUAAUCCACGAGUCAUUGGUUCGAGUCCGAUGCCCGGUACCA